UUUUAAAACUGUUUCAUAAGAAUGAGAGGAUUUCUUUUGUGAAAAGUUUGCAUGUGGAAUAUUUGCUAGUACCAGUUAAAGCCAUUACCUUUGUGCUUAAUUGAGAGAGGGAAAUUGAUUUGUGGUGUGUCUUGAAAUAAGAGCCUCUUGUGUUUUUGAUUUUCUUUACUUUGAGGACAAACAAAGUUUCUAAGUUGGGGGUGAUGAUGAGUGGUGGAUUUCACCUCAUUUGGGAAUUUUUUUCGUAGUUAUUUUGGCUUGAAUGGUGGAUUUCACCUCAUUUGAGGCUCUUUUCGUAGUUAUUUUGGCUUGCUUUAGUUUUGAAUUGAUGCUUUUAAUGUGGUUUUUUUUCUUCAUAUUUGCAUGAAAAUGAAAUGGAGAGUUGAUUUAGGAUAUUUGAAGAAACCAAGUGCACUUGAGGCAAAAAGAGGUCAAGAGAUUUCUGGCAGGGAAAGGGAAUAAUUUACUGUGACUUAAAGCCAUCAAACGUCCUGUUGGAUAAAAGUGGAAUGGCGAAGCUGUGUGAUUUUGGAUUAGCAAGAAAAUUGAGUGAAAUAUUAAAGGCACCUUCCUCCCAGAUAUUCUUUGGCAUCCAUCUGAUCUCUCAGUCCGACCUAUAAUGCCUAGCAGAAAAUCAAAUAAAGGUCAGAAUUCUUCGUUCUCUAGGUCAUGCAAAUGUAUUGAAGUUCUACUCCUGGUGAUAUUUGCAUGUAACUCCUUUCUUUUUCUUCAAUUUCGUUUCUAUGGUAAAGGUCCUUUUGGUGUUUAAUAAGAAGAUUUCUCUGACUUAUUUUCUAAUUCAACCGAUCCAUAAGUAUGGAACAUCUGCACACCUGUGGUUGGUUUUAGAAUAUUGUGUUGGAGGAGAUCUCAUGAGCUUGUUGCAGCAGGUAAACACUGGCAGGUCUGCUAUAUUAUAAAAACAUUUCAUUGUUCCAGUGGUAUAACGGCUGUGUUGGCAUAUAGGAUGCCUUAUGCUGACAUUAGACACGAACAUCCAAAAUUUGUGACAACACCCUAAUUCUUUUUUGGCUUAUUUUUAGUAGAGGCGUGGGAUAUUGAGGUUUCAUGGUAAAUUUGUUGCAUGCCUACAUUGGGAUUUCCCAAACAGGCACUAAGGACGUCGGUGUCAUGUGCAAUUGAAUACUUAAUUAGAGAUAAUUGUUUGUAGUCUCACAAAAUACAAAUAUAGGUUCUCACUCUUUGGACUAACUUGUUUCUUGUGCCAGCAAAAUGAUGUGAAAGAAAUAGGUUUCUUUUUUGAUUUGUUUAUAAAGAGUGGUCAAAAUGACCAUAGUUUACUGUAGUUGGUAAUGUCACAAAUUGCAUCUUCAUCAUCUUACCUGUAUUUUAGUUUAAACCACACCAGGGAGAUUUUAACAUCAUUUAAUCUCUGAGUUGAAGGAUGGUAAGCUUCCCGAUGAUUCAAUACAUGAUCGAGCUCGUGGCCUUGUUAGAGCUCUUCUAUACUUGCAUUCAAAGGGAAUAAUUAAUUGUGACUUAAAGCCAUCAAACAUCCUGCUAGAUGAAAAUAGAAUCAGGAAGGUAUGGUGAUCUUUAUAUUGUGACUUUUCCACGUCAUGACGAGUGCUUUUGACCAAUUAUAUGACGUUGAAGUUCCAAUUGUUUCCUGGAAGCUGUGUGAUUUUGGAUUAGCAAGAAAAUUGAGGGGUAUGUUAAAGACACCUUCCUCCCAGGUAGUUCACCUCUCUCUCCCCUCCUUCUUGCCAUAAAAUGAACAAAGGAUAAGUUAAAUUGGUGGCAGCUGUUUGGAAGUUCACUAAAGGUAAACUGUUUGGAAGUGCUUUUGACCAAUGAUAUGACGUUGAAGUUUCAAUCAUGCUUCCUUUUCCUCUUCCAGUUCUUAUAAAAAUAAGAUUUCUCUGAUAUCUCAAAACCAUCUAGGAACCUUUCAGAAAUUCUUAGGCAUCCAUCUUAUCUCUCAGUCAGAUCUGUAAUGCCUGGCUAAAAAUCAGAUAGAGGUUCAGAUGCAAUUCCUUCACUUUCAUUUGAUGCACCUCAACUGUCUGAUUUUGUCAAAAUGUCAGAGGAGCAAUUAGACUCUUUUAAUAGUUGAAUCAUCAGUAUUGUUAGUGGGAAUACUCCCUCAGGCGAGAAGCAAAGUGUGAUCAGAUACUUUGAGCUUUUGAGCAGCAAUGCUGAUGCAGCCAACACCUUGACCAAUGGGUCUAUCGUGUUGGUUCUA
This is a long non-coding RNA of Solanum tuberosum (potato), 2206 nucleotides long. RefSeq lists it as uncharacterized. The transcript is spliced from 5 exons. NCBI's taxonomy places the organism in Eukaryota, Viridiplantae, Streptophyta, Magnoliopsida, Solanales, Solanaceae. The record is from RefSeq and is a predicted model, not a curated record.